CAAAAAUAAAGCAAGAAAUUAUGAUCGGUGAACAUAACCAAAGAUGACAAAAAUGAAUGUAAAUACUCCAUUCCGUUGACAACCAUAAAAUCCAUUCGUUCUUCAGCCAAGCUUAGUAAUCUCUGUAGUAAAACACAGCAUAUACCUAGGUCAUCAAGGAUGAAUAUGGAGGUUCGAGCUUCCACAUACAGAUAAAAGAACAAACCUGGCAUUUUUUCUGACAACCCAAGGGAGCGACAUAAAUCAGGUGUUUGGCGACGACGAGAGACCAUUGGUAUUAGCCUUGAUAAUUCUUCCUCAUUAAAGUCAGAAGCAAUAGAAAACGUUGCCAGAAGUUGCAGGAAAGCAUGAGCCUCUAAGGAGUUCCCAUUGCUAUCAUCCACAUCAAGGGUAUCCAACUUUGGUUUCCACUCUUCGGCAAUUGCCUUUGCCUGCUCCUUU
Molecule: long non-coding RNA, 441 nt
Filed under: Citrus sinensis (sweet orange)
Lineage: Eukaryota; Viridiplantae; Streptophyta; Magnoliopsida; Sapindales; Rutaceae
Description: long non-coding RNA (CSIN_LNC000740)
Source: RNAcentral